UACGUAGGGUGCAAGCGUUGUCCGGAAUUAUUGGGCGUAAAGAGCGUGUAGGCGGCCAGGUAGGUCUGCUGUGAAAACUCGAGGCUCAACCUCGAGACGUCGGCGGAAACCAUCUGGCUGGAGUCCGGAAGAGGAGAGUGGAAUUCCUGGUGUAGCGGUGAAAUGCGCAGAUAUCAGGAAGAACACCCGUGGCGAAGGCGGCUCUCUGGGACGGUACUGACGCUGAGACGCGAAAGCGUGGGGAGCGAACAGG
This 253-nucleotide ribosomal RNA is filed under the name uncultured bacterium. RNAcentral's name for it is "partial 16S ribosomal RNA". It matches the Rfam family "Bacterial small subunit ribosomal RNA", at positions 524 to 776 of the family's 1533-position model. The record is from RNAcentral.